RNAcentral lists this ribosomal RNA (250 nucleotides) under uncultured bacterium. RNAcentral's name for it is "partial 16S ribosomal RNA". It matches the Rfam family "Bacterial small subunit ribosomal RNA", at positions 524 to 773 of the family's 1533-position model. The record is from RNAcentral.
UACGAGGGUGGCAAGCGUUAUCCGGAUUUAUUGGGCGUAAAGAGCGCGUAGGCGGUUUCACCAGUCUUAACAUAAAUCUCAUUGCCUAACAAUGAACCUUGUUAAGAUACUGUGGAACUCGUGGAUGGCAGGGGCAAGCGGAAUUCCCGGUGUAGGGGUAAAAUCCAUUGAUAUCGGGAGGAACACCAAUGGCGAAGGCAGCUUGCUAGGUCAUUUCAGACGCUAAGGCGCGAAAGCGUGGGGAGCGAAC